UACGGAGGGAGCGAGCGUUGUUCGGAUUUACUGGGCGUAAAGGGCGUGUAGGUGGGUGAUUAAGUCAGAUGUGAAAUCCCUUUGCUCAACGGAGGAACUGCAUUUGAAACUGACCAUCUUGAGUGUAGGAAGAGAGAGUGGAAUUUUCGGUGUAGCGGUGAAAUGCGUAGAUAUCGAAAAGAACACCAGUGGUGCAAACGGCUCUCUGGCCUAACACUGACACUGAGGCGCGAAAGCUAGGGUAGCGAACGGGAUUAGAUACCCCUGUA
RNAcentral lists this ribosomal RNA (269 nucleotides) under uncultured prokaryote. RNAcentral describes it as "partial 16S ribosomal RNA". It matches the Rfam family "Bacterial small subunit ribosomal RNA", at positions 524 to 792 of the family's 1533-position model. The record is from RNAcentral.